UAACGUCCGUCGUGAAGAGGGAAACAACCCAGACCGCCAGCUAAGGUCCCAAAGUCAUGGUUAAGUGGGAAACGAUGUGGGAAGGCCCAGACAGCCAGGAUGUUGGCUUAGAAGCAGCCAUCAUUUAAAGAAAGCGUAAUAGCUCACUGGUCGAGUCGGCCUGCGCGGAAGAUGUAACGGGGCUAAACCAUGCACCGAAGCUGCGGCAGCGACGCUUAUGCGUUGUUGGGUAGGGGAGCGUUCUGUAAGCCUGUGAAGGUGUGCUGUGAGGCAUGCUGGAGGUAUCAGAAGUGCGAAUGCUGACAUAAGUAACGAUAAAGCGGGUGAAAAGCCCGCUCGCCGGAAGACCAAGGGUUCCUGUCCAACGUUAAUCGGGGCAGGGUGAGUCGACCCCUAAGGCGAGGCCGAAAGGCGUAGUCGAUGGGAAACAGGUUAAUAUUCCUGUACUUGGUGUUACUGCGAAGGGGGGACGGAGAAGGCUAUGUUGGCCGGGCGACGGUUGUCCCGGUUUAAGCGUGUAGGCUGGUUUUCCAGGCAAAUCCGGAAAAUCAAGGCUGAGGCGUGAUGACGAGGCACUACGGUGCUGAAGCAACAAAUGCCCUGCUUCCAGGAAAAGCCUCUAAGCAUCAGGUAACAUCAAAUCGUACCCCAAACCGACACAGGUGGUCAGGUAGAGAAUACCAAGGCGCUUGAGAGAACUCGGGUGAAGGAACUAGGCAAAAUGGUGCCGUAACUUCGGGAGAAGGCACGCUGAUAUGUAGGUGAAGCGACUUGCUCGUGGAGCUGAAAUCAGUCGAAGAUACCAGCUGGCUGCAACUGUUUAUUAAAAACACAGCACUGUGCAAACACGAAAGUGGACGUAUACGGUGUGACGCCUGCCCGGUGCCGGAAGGUUAAUUGAUGGGGUCAGCGCAAGCGAAGCUCUUGAUCGAAGCCCCGGUAAACGGCGGCCGUAACUAUAACGGUCCUAAGGUAGCGAAAUUCCUUGUCGGGUAAGUUCCGACCUGCACGAAUGGCGUAAUGAUGGCCAGGCUGUCUCCACCCGAGACUCAGUGAAAUUGAACUCGCUGUGAAGAUGCAGUGUACCCGCGGCAAGACGGAAAGACCCCGUGAACCUUUACUAUAGCUUGACACUGAACAUUGAGCCUUGAUG
Molecule: ribosomal RNA, 1153 nt
Filed under: Escherichia coli
Lineage: Bacteria; Pseudomonadati; Pseudomonadota; Gammaproteobacteria; Enterobacterales; Enterobacteriaceae
Description: partial 23S ribosomal RNA
Rfam family: Bacterial large subunit ribosomal RNA
Source: RNAcentral